CUGGCUUCGUGGGAGACCAUUCGUUUCCUUUCUUCAGCACUACAGGACUGAGUCAGGACUGUUUUCUUCAUCGCCUUGGCCAAGAGACUGAACUGUUCGCCAUCUCUCCACUUCACUCCGACUCUGUGAACAGACACGGAUAAAUGGACAAGGUGUGGCCAGUC
Lampris incognitus (smalleye Pacific opah) is the source of this 164-nucleotide long non-coding RNA. RefSeq lists it as uncharacterized. The record is from RefSeq and is a predicted model, not a curated record. Lineage: Eukaryota; Metazoa; Chordata; Actinopteri; Lampriformes; Lampridae. The transcript has 3 exons.